UUAGGAGUAGGGUUAAGGUUUUAGUUAGUGUUCUGUUUAGCUUUAUGGUUAGGGGUAGGUUAGUGUUAGGAUUAGGUUUAGGGUUCCGCUUAGGGUAAGAUUAGGGUAUGGCUUACUGUUAGUGUUAGGGUUAUUGUUAUGGUUAGGUUUAUGGUUCAUGUAGGGUAGGCUUGAGGUUAUAGUAUGGGUUUGGGUUAGGUAAGGGUUAGGGCUACGUUUAAAGUUAUAUUUUUC
Molecule: long non-coding RNA, 234 nt
Filed under: Gallus gallus (chicken)
Lineage: Eukaryota; Metazoa; Chordata; Aves; Galliformes; Phasianidae
Source: RNAcentral